Molecule: long non-coding RNA, 1241 nt
Organism: Paramisgurnus dabryanus
Lineage: Eukaryota; Metazoa; Chordata; Actinopteri; Cypriniformes; Cobitidae
Source: RefSeq, a predicted model, not a curated record
AUCUUGUUCUUCUGUCUUCUAGACUCUCUCCAACCUCUCUUGCUCCUGCUACCUCUACUGCUUUAACAACAAUUUUCUCUCCACUUUUUUUCCCCACCUUCACUGCCAUGCUCUAAGUUUUUGCCACAGAGGAAGAUAAAGAAAUCUACCUCUUCCCACUAUACCACACUUGUCUCUCUUCAAUUUGCAUCUGUCUCUUCCAGUUCUAAAUCUCAGAAGUGGCCACUGGUGAAGAACAGAAUGAAGGAUAACUUUUCCUGUUACAUCUUACUCCACAAUUUGCUCCUAGUCAAAUAUGUCUUCAUGUUAAUUAAAUUCAUUUAGCUAACCAGGUAUUUGUUAGCCAGUUCACAGUGUUUUAGAGCCCAAUGUCCAAGGACUGUGGUCAAUGUAAAUUCCUGACUUAAAGGGACACUUCACUUUUUUUUGCUAAUUUUCCAGCAGUAAGUUUUACCGUUUUAGAAUCCAUUCAGCUGAUCUCUGCGUCUGGCACUACCACUUUUAGCAUAGCUUAGCAUAAUACAUUGAAUCUGAUUAGGCCAUUACCAUCACGCCAAAAAAUUACCAAAGAGUUUCGAUAUUUUUCCUAUUUAAAACUUGACUUGUACUAAGACAGACGGAAAAUUUAAAGUUGUGAUUUUCUCAGCUGAUAUUUCUAGGAACUAUACUCUUAUUCUGUCGUAAUAAUCAAGGACUUUGCUGUCGUAACAUGGCUGCAGAAGGCAUAAUGAUAUAACGCAGUGCCCGAAAAUAGUCCCCUUAGUAUCUUUCAAUAGCAGGGGCAAUUUUCGGGCACUGCGUAAUAUCAUUUUGGUUGAUUGACAAAAACAAGCACAAAUUUGUUUGACACUAAUGGAAAGGACUGCAUAUCACUUCACAUAAAUAUGGACUCAUGUGAUUCACCUACAAAGCAUGGCAUUCAUGGCUUAAUAAACUUUUUGUCUUUUCAUCAUUUCAGGUUGCUGAAAAUGUAGUUGGCAGAAGGUUUCCUUUUCGAUAAAAUAACUGGGGAACAGAUAAAUGAGAGGAAAGCCGAAUUGAAAGUUCACUGGUUACGUGCUCUGUGUGUGGAAAAACUUGGGAUGACACAUAGGAGCCUGCCAGCGAAUUCCAACACAAGUCCCCACAUCCCAACCAGUUUUCAGCAUGACAGCCUACACCUUUACAUUAUCAAGCACCCUUCAACUGUUUAAUUUUGAGUGUCUUUGCUUGCUGUUCUUUAUUAAAGUUUUUGCACAGUA